CUUGACAUCCAGAGAACUUAGCAGAGAUGCUUUGGUGCCUUCGGGAACUCUGAGACAGGUGCUGCAUGGCUGUCGUCAGCUCGUGUUGUGAAAUGUUGGGUUAAGUCCGCAACGAGCGCAACCCUUAUCCUUUGUUGCCAGCGGUCCGGCCGGGAACUCAAAGGAGACUGCCAGUGAUAAACUGGAGGAAGGUGGGGAUGACGUCAAGUCAUCAUGGCCCUUACGAGUAGGGCUAUACACGUGCUACAACGGCGCAUACAAAGAGAAGCGACCUCGCGAGAGCAAGCGGACCUCAUAAAGUGCGUCGUAGUCCGGAUUGGAGUCUGCAACUCGACUCCAUGAAGUCGGAAUCGCUAGUAAUCGUAGAUCAGAAUGCUACGGUGAAUACGUUCCCGGGCCUUGUACACACCGCCCGUCACACCAUGGGAGUGGGUUGUAAAAGAAGUAGGUAGCUUAACCUUCGGGAGGGCGCUUACCACUUUGUGAUUCAUGACUGGGGUGAAGUCGUAACAAGGUAGGCGUAGACGU
This 528-nucleotide ribosomal RNA is filed under the name uncultured bacterium. RNAcentral describes it as "bacterial SSU rRNA". It matches the Rfam family "Bacterial small subunit ribosomal RNA", at positions 980 to 1509 of the family's 1533-position model. The record is from RNAcentral.